RNAcentral lists this ribosomal RNA (396 nucleotides) under uncultured bacterium. RNAcentral describes it as "partial 16S ribosomal RNA". It matches the Rfam family "Bacterial small subunit ribosomal RNA", at positions 523 to 918 of the family's 1533-position model. The record is from RNAcentral.
AUACGUAGGUGGCAAGCGUUGUCCGGAAUUAUUGGGCGUAAAGCGCAUGUAGGCGGUUUGGUAAGUCGGUCGUGAAAAUGCGGUGCUUAACGCCGUAUGGCGAUUGAAACUGCUGAACUUGAGUGCAGGAGAGGAAAGGGGAACUCCCAGUGUAGCGGUGAAAUGGGUAGAUAUUGGGAAGAACACCGGUGGCGAAGGCGCCUUGCUGGAGUGUGUCUGACACUCAGAUGCGAAAGCCAGGGGAGCGAACGGGAUUUGAUACCCCGGUAGUCCUGGCCGUAAACGAUGGGUACUAGGUGUGGGAGGGACCGACUCCUUCCGUGCCGGAGUUAACGCAAUAAGUACCCCGCCUGGGGAGUACGGCCGCAAGGCUUAAACUCAAAUGAAUUGACGGGG